CGUAAUGUAAACACUUGCCUCGUUGAUUAGUAAAACUGAAUUGCCGUGUAACGCGCAUUGCACACGAUUAUACGUCUUAAUUAGUCAGUGGACGGGAAUUAAUUCCCUUUACAGCAUUUCCCGUGGGUCACAUUCUUGCGGCCGUGGUGUAAAACAUUUCUGCCUCUUGGAACACGAGCCACUCAUGGGGCACCUGUUUGUCCCGAGUUUCGAGGGAACACAGAUUGCAUUAAACAACGUAACGAGUUGACGUAUCUUCCUAAUUACCCGGCCCGGACACUUUGCUUUGGCCGAAGAAUUCCAUUUCUGCAUCUAAAAUAAUCACAGACAGACGGACAAAGAAAGAAAGUUUGGAGUUAAUUUUUAUUAGCCGACGAAAUGAAUAAUGAAACGAGUAAAAGAAAGAAGAAUUUAAAUCCAAAAUAAGAUCGGGGUUACGCAUAAUAAAUUCGAUCCUCCAAAAGUGUGAAUAUAUUAACGUCCUGAUAAAUUUGUUUAAAUUAAUUACAUAAUUUCAUAAAUAAUCUUCAUUUAAAAUACAAAUAUCUCUACAAAGAUAUUUUAAAUUACCCACGAUAUACGAAAGAAUUGUUCUUUGUUUCAAACAAUUCGUUCCAACGUACAACAAAGCUUUGAAUAUCCGAAAUUGCGGUUAGAAUAACCGCUAAAACUUUUCAAAAGCAAACGGAAUGAUCCAAGAUCCAACUAACGAUCGUUCUUUCGUUUGGCCUGCACUGACAGCAUAUUCCAUUCGGUUUUGCCGGUCUCUCCCCUCCGGAUGCCGCGAAGAGGAAUACGAAAUGUUGAAACCCGGGCGCCCUGGGCGCGGUUUGCGUUCACACUAAUCAUUAACCUUCGUACAUAGAUACAUUUGCAUCGUGGAACACCGAACAUCCUGUUUAUUUACAGGUAUUUGCGCGACUGUGUGUGCAUCACGUUAUCAAGCAUGGAAUUAUUUCUGGACCAAGGACUGGAAAGGAUGUGGGUGACGAAAGGAAGGAAAUACCCGGUUGUUGCGCUUUUGUGUCCCCCUCAAAGAAUUAGAAAUUUGACAGAUGGCUCUGAUUUUCGAGAAAAUUCGAGAAUCAGUUUUCGAAGGAGGGAAAAUUACGAAAAGAUGAAAAUUCCUAUUACUUUUUUACACUAAAUAAUGAACGUGGAAAUAAUGCAGUCAUUGAAGUAUAAGUAGAAUUUAAAUUUAAAAUUUUCCUUAACUUGCAAUUUCGUACGUUUUCAUCAAGUCUUAUAUCCGCAACUGUUUUAAAGAAAAUAUCUAUAGUAUAAGUACAAAGUAAAAUAUUAAAAAUAAAAGUAUCAAAGAUACCAAAGAUAUCGUAAUAUAUAAGAAACGAUACGAAGUUUAUGCUCGUAAAUAGUUAUGAAGAAAUGGCAAUUUUAUGACACUCGUCUCUGUUGUAGGCAAAGUAUAAGGGAAACGAAACUGUGCAUGGGUUUUGUUUUACGUCGCGUGUACCUUGGGGAAAUGUGCUCGGGUUAAUUUCACGGUUCAGCAUCGACGGAGGCCACUAUUGCCACCGCGGACCAUUACGAUCAUGACACGCCACGCCUAACACACUUUAUUCGAUUCCCGUGUUUCUAGAAUUUGGGUGAUUAAAUUUAACGAGGGGAUAAAGAUAUUAUCCCCUUUUAGAGGAUUACGCUUCCGCUGAUUUACAAGUUCGUUUAAAUGAAAAUAAAGACACGAUUACCAUUUCACGUUGAGAAUCAUGAAAGGGACAAAUGUUUGGUCGAAAAUGAGCAUAUAUUACAAUUGAAAUUUAAGAAAUGUAAUAUAUACGUUCCAAGAAAUUAUAGCAAUAGGCGUUGAGUUUAUAAGAAAUUAAAAUUAUCUUUCAAUUUCAA
Apis cerana (Asiatic honeybee) is the source of this 1863-nucleotide long non-coding RNA. RefSeq lists it as uncharacterized. NCBI's taxonomy places the organism in Eukaryota, Metazoa, Arthropoda, Insecta, Hymenoptera, Apidae. The record is from RefSeq and is a predicted model, not a curated record.